Non-coding RNA from Corylus avellana, 647 nucleotides. The record is from RefSeq and is a predicted model, not a curated record. NCBI's taxonomy places the organism in Eukaryota, Viridiplantae, Streptophyta, Magnoliopsida, Fagales, Betulaceae.
UGAGCAAUAUGCUAAGAAUGAAAGUGGAAGUGGGGCUAGCUUGGCUAGGUUUGGAAAUGAAGAGCGUAGUUGCACAAGUUCCGAAAGUGUGGGUACUAAUAAGAAAGAUGCUUUAGCUAUUUACCAUUCAUUUCGGGCGUCCAAAAAUGUGAUGAUGUGUCGGACAGAGAUAGAGCAAUAUUAUACGGAAGAGGUGGAGACUCCAAGUGACAACUUUGAUAUUUUAAUGUGGUGGAGGGUAAAUAAGGUAAAGUUUCCGGUUCUCGCCGAGAUAGCACGAGAUGUCCUGGCAAUUCCACUUACUUCUGUUGCUUCUGAGUCGGCCUUUAGCACCGGAGGUCGCAUCAUAGAUCCUUUUCGGAGUUCUUUGGCUCCGAAAACAGUGGAAGCUCUUAUUUGUUGUCAAAAUUGGUUGAGAUCUUCUCCCAAUUUUCAGUAUGUUGAGUCACUCUUGCCUGACAUUGAAGAUGAAGAAAGCUACAAGCUUGAGUCGGAAAUUUUGUCUAAUUCCCUCACAUUUGACACGAAUUAAGGCUUAAUGGAUGAACUUUGCGGGGUAAUGUUUUGUUUAAAGUAUUUGGAAGCAAAUUUAAGGAAUUGAAGAUAAUCUAUGUUUGAGGUGGCUCAAGGAAAUUAUUGUGUAACCG